This 505-nucleotide ribosomal RNA is filed under the name Bethylinae sp. 1 PFRJ-2021a. RNAcentral describes it as "partial large subunit ribosomal RNA". Lineage: Eukaryota; Metazoa; Arthropoda; Insecta; Hymenoptera; Bethylidae. The record is from RNAcentral.
AGAACUUUGAAGAGAGAGUUCAAGAGUACGUGAAACCGUUCAGGGGUAAACCCGAGGAACCCAAAAGAUCGAAGGGGGAGAUUCAUCGUCAGCGGUGCAGGCUACGCGAUGACGUACGAUGUCGCGGAUUACGGUCCGACGGCACGUGGUCAUUGUGUAUUGUCCGGUAACGUCGACGUGCACUUCUCCCCUUGUAGAACGUCGCGACCCGUUGGGUGUCGUUCUAAGGCUCGGACGGGAGACUGUCUCGUCGCUUCACGGCGCAUCGAGAUAGACCACCGAUCGCCAGUAACGGCUGCCCGGCGGUACGCACAUGGUAUCGAGCCGCAUCAUAAAUUAAUUUAGAUUGCGUCGGACCCGCCGCAAGCGCGGCCAGUGUUUUACCGGGAUUUCGGACCUAGCGCCGUCCCCGGUCCUGGCCAGCUGUUGGUUGGCGGUGUUCUCCGACCGGCCAAUAUACCGGUCAGCGACGCUACUGCUUUGGGUAAUCUCAGGACCCGUCUUG